This 465-nucleotide ribosomal RNA is filed under the name uncultured bacterium. Its description in RNAcentral is "partial 16S ribosomal RNA". It matches the Rfam family "Bacterial small subunit ribosomal RNA", at positions 339 to 795 of the family's 1533-position model. The record is from RNAcentral.
CUACGGGCCGCAGCAGUGGGGAAUAUUGGACAAUGGGGGAAACCCUGAUCCAGCAAUGCCGCGUGUGUGAAGAAGGCCUGCGGGUUGUAAAGCACUUUCGGUUGGGAGGACUGCUUCUAGCACUAAUAUUGUUGGAAGUUGACGUUACCUUCAGAAGAAGCACCGGCUAACUCCGUGCCAGCAGCCGCGGUAAUACGGAGGGUGCAAGCGUUAAUCGGAAUUACUGGGCGUAAAGCGCGCGUAGGCGGCUAGAUCAGUCGGGUGUGAAAGCCCCGGGCUUAACCUGGGAACUGCAUCCGAUACUGUCUAGCGCGAGUACAGGAGAGGAGAGUGGAAUUCCACAUGUAGCGGUGAAAUGCGUAGAUAUGUGGAGGAACACCAAUGGCGAAGGCAGCUCUCUGGCCUGAUACUGACGCUGAGGUGCGAAAGCAUGGGGAGCAAACAGGAUUAGAUACCCUAGUAGUC